This 90-nucleotide microRNA precursor is filed under the name Ovis aries (sheep). RNAcentral's name for it is "miRNA (ENSOARG00000024254.1)". The record is from RNAcentral. Lineage: Eukaryota; Metazoa; Chordata; Mammalia; Artiodactyla; Bovidae.
AUAUAAAAUGUGUGUAUGUGUGUGUGUGUGUGUGUGUGUGUGUAUAUAUAUAUAUACACACAUACAUAUAUAUAUAUAUAUACAUAUAUA